Long non-coding RNA from Pezoporus occidentalis (night parrot), 1557 nucleotides. RefSeq lists it as uncharacterized. Lineage: Eukaryota; Metazoa; Chordata; Aves; Psittaciformes; Psittacidae. The transcript has 2 exons. The record is from RefSeq and is a predicted model, not a curated record.
CGUACAGCCCCCGAGCCUUGAGAACGGCCGCGGGUAACGAGGGCCCCGGUGGAACGGCGGCGGUGUUCAACCUCCCCAUUCCCCGCGUCUGCUCUGACCGCCUUCGGGAGCAGCCGGUUCCAGGAAGCGCUGCCUUUGGCUGGGUUGGUCUCGCCAAGGCAAACGUUGACGGCUGUCAUCCCUGACUACAUCGUGUGGUGGAAGGAGCUGCUGCCUGCAGGUGUAUGUGCGAGCACACAAAAUACAGCUGUUUGGUAGCUAAACGUUAUACAAAUAGCCAAAAAUCACCUGUUACCCAACCAGCGAGGCCAUGCUCCUAGGAAACACAGUGCCAGAGGAACUCUUAUUUUCUCCUCAUUUCCCAAUUUGCAGCAGACUGAGAAAGAAAAGAAAUAUCUCUGUCAAAAGGGACAAUUCAUUGCUGUUUUAUCACCCGGCAUCUUGGAGUUCUUCAAGGCCCCUAGCUGGCUGGUUUUAAAACCAGGAUUCCUGCAUGUGGCUAUAAAACCAGAGGUACUGACAGUGGCCAGCACCCACCACAACCUGCUCCAGCAAGGAGAGGUCUGAGCUCACCAAAUGGAGUGCCAGAACCUUCAAGCUGUUGGAUGUCCAAGCCGCAAACUUAGAAAUCUUGAGUCUCUACAACCUGAAGGAACCCAACAAGAAGUUGCACUGUGUGAGCAUCACUGCAUCACCUUUAUUUAUCCUGCAAUCUUUUAAUUAAAAAGACAACAUAUUUAAAAUAUAUGUGAAAGUGCAUUCAAUCAUCUAGCAUAGGCUUCUUUUCACAGCUGUCACUGUAUAUAGGCAGACCUUUGAAUCAUUACACAAAACUGAUGUUAAUGUUUCCAAAGGCUGAAGAUAACGGUUGGUUUCUUAACAACAGGUUUUCCCCACAGGAACAGGGACUGUGGCUGAAACUGUGGCUGACGGUUUGGUUUUAGCUGUGUUAAACCAUAAACAAUUCACUAGAAUUUCUGAAGCUCUUCCUGCCCUGCAUUUGCACCUGACUUGGGCAACAUGUGGCCUUAAAGGCUUGACCUCAAGAGGAGUAUUUUUGCACCUAAAUGUAGGUGUUCAGCAGAGGCUUCUUCCAUAGAGGGGUAUGUGCUGAGCAGGGGCUGGAGCCAGCCACUGGGAAAAACUGGGCACAAGCUGUGACUGACCAGGUUACCUGCCUCUGAGCUUUGUGGCACAUAUGGGAAUCCUCUUCUAAAGGCAUGUCCCAGUCAGAUGGAAGAGGGAAAAAGGAAGAAUCUCUGCAUUUUUGAAUCAUUCAGUGCUGUAUGAGUAAAUCGUUUGUUGGCUAAUUUAUCUUCCACCCAUCCUACAAAAAGAGAAUAAAGUAAUGCAUAUUUAUUUUUAACAUUUCAGGAUCCGACGUAUAAAUAUGCAGUCAUUCUGAGGAACAACAGGCCUGCAGGUUCUAGAAAUAGGUAUCUGUAGUCAGGAGCUGCUUUUGAAAAAAAUUACUUUAAUCACUUGGAAUAUGUGAGGCAGACAUUUAAAUGCCUUUUAAAAGCACGCUGUAAAAUAAAAAGAAAUAUUUCUCUCCCA